UNUGACUUGAGUGCAGAAGGGGAGAGUGGAAUUCCAUGUGUAGCGGUGAAAUGCGUAGAUAUAUGGAGGANCACCAGUGGCGAAAGCGGCUCUCUGGUCUGUCACUGACGCUGAGGCUCGAAAGCGUGGGUAGCGAACAGGAUUAGAUACCCUGGUAGUNCACGCCGUAAACGAUGAGUGCUAGGUGUUAGGCCCNUUCCGGGGCUUAGUGCCGGAGCUAACGCAAUAAGCACUCCGCCUGGGGAGUACGACCGCAAGGUUGAAACUCAAAGGAAUUGACGGGGGCCCGCACAAGCGGCGGAGCAUGUGGUUUAAUUCGAAGCAACGCGAAGAACCUUACCAGGUCUUGACAUCCCGAUGCUAUUCUUAGAGAUAGGAAGUUACUUCGGUACAUCGGAGACAGGUGGUGCAUGGUUGUCGUCAGCUCGUGUCGUGAGAUGUUGGGUUAAGUCCCGCAACGAGCGCAACCCUUAUUGUUAGUUGCCAUCAUUAAGUUGGGCACUCUAGCGAGACUGCCGGUAAUAAACCGGAGGAAGGUGGGGAUGACGUCAAAUCAUCAUGCCCCUUAUGACCUGGGCUACACACGUGCUACAAUGGUCGGUACAACGAGUUGCGAGCCGGUGACGGCAAGCUAAUCUCUGAAAGCCGAUCUCAGUUCGGAUUGGAGGCUGCAACUCGCCUCCAUGAAGUCGGAAUCGCUAGUAAUCGCGGAUCAGCACGCCGCGGUGAAUACGUUCCCGGGCCUUGUACACACCGCCCGUCACACCACGAGAGUUUGUAACACCCGAAGUCGGUGAGGUAACCUUUUAGGGGCCAGCC
RNAcentral lists this ribosomal RNA (819 nucleotides) under uncultured bacterium. Its description in RNAcentral is "bacterial SSU rRNA". It matches the Rfam family "Bacterial small subunit ribosomal RNA", at positions 636 to 1454 of the family's 1533-position model. The record is from RNAcentral.